Long non-coding RNA from Odontomachus brunneus, 879 nucleotides. RefSeq lists it as uncharacterized. The record is from RefSeq and is a predicted model, not a curated record. The transcript has 3 exons. Lineage: Eukaryota; Metazoa; Arthropoda; Insecta; Hymenoptera; Formicidae.
AAUUGCGAAUAAUCGCUUAUCAGAUUGCGAAUAAACUCGACCAAAAUCUGUUGAUAGCUUCAUGGACAUCUAUAUCCACAUUCAACUCGUGCUCUGUCGACAAAUCUGCUGGCAUUCAACUCUGUCGACAAAUCUGCUGGCAAAAUCUAACGGUAAAUUGGCGACAGAAAAUGAGCAAGAUCUGCAGUGCGUUCCAUUUAAGUAUCUUAGGCUCAGGUCAAUUCUUGUCGUCAGUCUAUCACUAUACUCUGUCAUCAGAUUUUGCUGUAUUUUUUUUUAGGAUAGAGUCUACAGCAAACACUGUGCAAUCUGCUCUUGCGAGUUUGACUACCUGGGGUCGUGGCAGUACUGAAAAUCACGCAGUCGAUUUAGAGUGUCUAUUGUUCAAAAUACCAAUAGAAUAACGAGUAUAAAUAGAAAAUUCACGUAUCUAUGAAAUAACAUGCGCGGUUGUUUACAUUCCUCGCAUACGUCGUCGAGCUGCGAGAUGUAUUGUUUUUUGGCCUGCUCGGAUGAGAGACGUACAAACGAAAUGUAUUUUUGAGAAUUGCAGUAUAAAACACAUACAGAGUCAGAUGGAAAAGGACCAUGAUAGGCCUGCAACCAAGAAGAAAAAGAGAAAGAGCUCGGGAUGACGUCCAAGAGGACGGACACCGUGUUAUGGGAAUGUCAAAAAUUGUGCAGGCAAUUUGUUCGGAUGGAAGGGGACGUGCAUAAGAGAGUUUUUAAGGUUAAUGUUGUUAUAGAUUCCGCGUUGGACACAAGAGAGUGCUUGCACUCAUUAUCGCGCGAUACAUAAUUUAUUUUUUCUAUAUCUAUAAUUUUCUAAAUACUCAUAAUAUACCUAUCGUGUUACUCGAGAUUACGAUUAAACUUUGA